ACUGCUAUCGGACUGAUACUAAGCCAUGCGAGUCUUUGUAGCAAUACAAGGCAGACGGCUCAGUAACGCGUAGUCAAUCUACCCUAUGGACGGGGAUAACCUCGGGAAACUGAGAAUAAUACCCGACAGAACAUUAUGCCUGGAAUGGUUUAUGUUUUAAAUGAUUUAUCGCCAUAGGAUGGGACUGCGUCCUAUCAGUUUGUUGGUGAGGUAAUGGCCCACCAAGACUAUUACAGGUACGGGCUCUGAGAGGAGUGGCCCGGAGAUGGGUACUGAGACACGGACCCAGGCCCUAUGGGGCGCAGCAGGCGAGAAAACUUUGCAAUGUGCGAAAGCACGACAAGGUUAAUCCGAGUGAUUUCUGCUAAAGAAAUCUUUUGUCAGUCCUAGAAACACUGGUGAAUAAGGGGUGGGCAAGUUCUGGUGUCAGCCGCCGCGGUAAAACCAGCACCUCAAGUGGUCAGGAUGAUUAUUGGGCCUAAAGCAUCCGUAGCCUGCUAUGUAAGUUCUCGGUUAAAUCCAUACGCUUAACGUAUGGGCUGCCGGCAAUACUGCAUAGCUAGGGAGUGGGAGAGGUAGACGGUACUCGGUAGGAAGGGGUAAAAUCCUUUGAUCUAUUGAUGACCACCUGUGGCGAAGGCGGUCUACCAGAACACAUCCGACGGUGAGGGAUGAAAGCUGAGGGAGCAAACCGGAUUAGAUACCCGGGUAGUCCCAGCUGUAAACUAUGCAAACUCAGUGAUGCAUUGGCUUGUGGCCAAUGCAGUGCUGCAGGGAAGCCGUUAAGUUUGCCGCCUGGGAAGUACGUACGCAAAGUAUGAAACUUAAAGGAAUUGGCGGGGGAGCACCCACAAGGGGUGAAGCCUGCGGUUCAAUUGGAUUCAACGCC
Molecule: ribosomal RNA, 889 nt
Filed under: uncultured archaeon
Lineage: Archaea
Description: bacterial SSU rRNA
Rfam family: Archaeal small subunit ribosomal RNA
Source: RNAcentral